UAUUGUUCUUCAACGAGGAAUCCCUAGUAAGCACAAGUCACCAGCUUGUGCUGAUUACGUCCCUGCCCUUUGUACACACCGCCCGUCGCUACUACCGAUUGAAUGGCUUAGUGAGGCCUUCGGAUCGGCGUUCGGGGACUGGCAACAGUCUCCGUCUGUUGAAAAGUUGGUCAAACUUGGUCAUUUAGAGGAAGUAAAAGUCGUAACAAGGUUUCCGUAGGUGAACCUGCGGAAGGAUCAUUAUUAUUUGGGUCGGGUUUACUUCCUGCUCUGUUCGGACUGUUCUUUGUGUCUUGAUAAAUAGGAAGUAAACUUUUACCAAAUAAAUCCUAUAUCUCCUAUAGGAGCAAGAUAUUUUUAUUUAAAACCCCACUCUUAAAUAUUUAUUGUAUUUAUUUUGAAUGAUAAAUUAAAGAUCACUUUCAACAACGGAUCUCUUGGCUCUCGCAUCGAUGAAGAACGUAGCGAAGUGCGAUAAGUAAUGUGAAUUGCAGAAUUCCGUGAAUCAUCGAAUCUUUGAACGCAUAUUGCACUCUCUGGUAUUCCGGAGAGUAUGCCUGUUUGAGGGUCAGUUAAAUAAAAAUCGGGGUUUCUGCCACCUUUCGUGGUGACGCUUCGGAAAUGGGCCGUCUUUUACCUAUCGGUUUAAGUGACUUAAAAUUUUUGUAUGAUAUCUGAACGUAUUUAAAUUUAUUUGGUACGUUUUGUAAUAUCGAAUGUUUAUUAGGUGUGGUCAUUCUCAUGACACACGUCUAUAAUUUUUCAUCUAAUGACCUCAAAUCAGGUAAGAGUACCCGCUGAACUUAAGCAUAUCAAUAAGCGGAGGAAAAGAAAAUAACAAUGAUUCCCUUAGUAACGGCGAGUGAAGGGGGGAAAAGCUCAAAUUUUAAAUCCUGCUGGGUUUUACCUUUCAGAGUUGUAUUUUGAAGAAGCGUUUUCCGCGUCUCGGUUGACCCAAAUCCUUUGGGGAUAAGGUAUCAUGGGAGGGUGAGAAUCCCCGUUCGGKUKACCUUAUGACGCUUUACGAUACGCUCUCAAAGAGUCGAGUUGUUUGGGAUUGCAGCUCAAAAUGGGAGGUAAAUUUCUCCUAAGGCUAAAUAUCGGCGAGAGACCGAUAGCGAACAAGUACCGUGAGGGAAAGAUGAAAAGAACUUUGAAAAGAGAGUAAAAUAGUACGUGAAAUUGUUGAAAGGGAAACGAUUGAAGUCAGUCGUACCGACGGAAAAUCAGCUCUUCGAGUGCGAACUUGUGGGCGUACGUGAGCUUUAACCGGCCUCGUUGUUUGCGAUGUUUGUGCUUUUUGGGUGUACUUUUUCGUAUGGUAGGCCAAUGUCAGUUUCGGUCAUCAUAAAAUGAUCGGAGGAAUGUAGCUUCGAUCUCGUAUUGAAGUGUUAUAGCCUCUGGUAGAUGUGAUGAACGAGACUGAGGAUUGCAACGAAUACCCUUCGGUGCUAUCCGCCUGACCUCUGAAAGUUGCUUAGGUGCCGAAAGCUUGCUUACGGUCAUCUAUGACGACGGUCAAAAGGUUAGAACGUGAUUAUAUUCGUUAAGGAUGUUGGCGUAAUGGCUUUAAACGACCCGUCUUGAAACACGGACCAAGGAGUCUAACAUAUAUGCGAGUGUUU
This 1625-nucleotide ribosomal RNA is filed under the name Dominikia iranica. Its description in RNAcentral is "eukaryotic LSU rRNA". The stretch from base 771 to 1625 matches the Rfam family "Eukaryotic large subunit ribosomal RNA", at positions 1 to 695 of the family's 3401-position model. Lineage: Eukaryota; Fungi; Glomeromycota; Glomeromycetes; Glomerales; Glomeraceae. The record is from RNAcentral.